This is a small nucleolar RNA of Solanum stenotomum, 107 nucleotides long. The record is from RefSeq and is a predicted model, not a curated record. Lineage: Eukaryota; Viridiplantae; Streptophyta; Magnoliopsida; Solanales; Solanaceae.
UGAUGAUGGUGUGGACAACUUAGCGACAUGGAUUUAAACCUGUCCCAAGCUUUAUACAAGUUUUCUCCUCUUUUCUAUCGAAAGUUUAAUAUCUCGCUUCUUAACUA